GGGAAGAUGGCCGAGUGGUUAAGGCGCCGUGUUUAGGUACUGAGUCUGCUCAGGCACGUAUACCGCGGUUCGAAAGAGCGGGAGUUCGAACCUCCCUCUUCUCA
Molecule: non-coding RNA, 104 nt
Organism: Venturia effusa
Lineage: Eukaryota; Fungi; Ascomycota; Dothideomycetes; Venturiales; Venturiaceae
Source: the annotation of a GenBank genome assembly